RNAcentral lists this long non-coding RNA (1307 nucleotides) under Anser cygnoides (Swan goose). RNAcentral describes it as "lncRNA (ENSACDG00005007138.1)". Lineage: Eukaryota; Metazoa; Chordata; Aves; Anseriformes; Anatidae. The record is from RNAcentral.
CUUGGCCCCAUAGGGGGUGUGGGGGGGGCGCUGACGGGGGCCCCGCGUCCUCCGGGGACGUUGGGGACAUCGGGGGCCAGUCCCUCGGGUUGGGGACAUCGGGCCGCGAGGGGGCGUCUGUCCCGUGUGUCGGGGACAAUUGGGACGUCGGGGACAUCGGGUCACCGUGGGUCGCAGUCCUUUGGGUUGGGGACACUGGGGAUGUUGAGGACAUUGGGGAUGUUGGGGACAUCGGGGACAUCGAGGAUAUGGGGGACAUCAAGGACAUCAGGCCAUGACGGGUCUUCGUCCUUCAGGUUGGGGACAUUGGGGACGUUGGGGACAUUGGGGACGUUGUGGACAUCGGGUCAUGAUGGGUCUCAGUCCUUUCGGUUGGGGACAUCAGGGAUGUCGAGGACGUUGAGGACAUCGAGGACGUUGAGGACAUCGAGGACGUCGAGGACAUCAGGCCAUGACGGGUCUUGGUCCUUUGGGUUGGGGACAUCGGGGAUGUUGGGGACGUUGAGGACAUUGGGUCAUGGUGGAUCUUGGUCCUUUGGGUUGGGGUCACUGGGGACAUCGAGGACAUCAAGGAUGUUGAGGACACUGGGGACAUCAGGCCAUGACGGGUCUCGGUCCUUUGGGUUGGUGACAUCAGGAACGUUGGGGACAUUAAGGACGUCGAGGACGUUGGGGACAUCAGGACGUGGUGGAUCUUGGUCCUUUGGGCUGGGGACAUUGGGGACGUCGAGGACUUCAAGGACAUUGGGGACGUCGAGGAUAUCAGGCGAUGGUGGGUCUUCGUCCUUUGGGUUGGGGACAUCAGGGACAUCGGGGACAUCAGGUCAUGACGGGUCUCAGUCCUUUGGGUUGGGGACAUUGGGGACAUCAGGGACGUUGAGGACAUCGGGCCGUGAUGGAUCUCAGUCCUUCAGGUUGGGGACAUCGGGGACUUUGGGGACGUUGAGGACAUCAGGCCGUGACAGGUCUCAGUCCUUUGGGUUGGGGACAUCGGGGACAGCAGCUGCGAUGUGUCCCCAUCUGGUGCCAUGGGGACGUUGGGGACACGGAGCCACCGACGCGGUGACUGGGUGCCCUCGGGGACGUCGAGCUGUGGCGGGUGUCGGUCCCUCGGGGCUGGUGACGUCCCGCUGCGACGUGGCUUGGCGUCUUGGUCGGGGACGUUGGGGGAUGUUGGGGACACUGGGAGUUUUGGGGACACUGGGGAGUUUUGGGGACAUUUUGGGGUUUGGGGGACAUCGAGCCACAUCGUGCCUCGGUCCCCCUCCUUGGGGACACCCAUGGGUGGGGUGGGGGGNNNNNNNNNN